Molecule: ribosomal RNA, 200 nt
Filed under: uncultured bacterium
Lineage: Bacteria
Description: partial 16S ribosomal RNA
Rfam family: Bacterial small subunit ribosomal RNA
Source: RNAcentral
AGCGAACGCUGGCGGCAGGCCUAACACAUGCAAGUCGAACGAUCCUUCGGGAUAGUGGCGGACGGGUGAGUAACACGUGGGAACGUACCUUUAGGUUCGGGAUAACUCAGGGAAACUUGAGCUAAUACCGGAUAAGCCCUUCGGGGGAAAGAUUUAUCGCCUUUAGAGCGGCCCGCGUUAGAUUAGCUAGUUGGUGAGGU